This is a long non-coding RNA of Onychomys torridus (southern grasshopper mouse), 210 nucleotides long. RefSeq lists it as uncharacterized. The record is from RefSeq and is a predicted model, not a curated record. The transcript is spliced from 3 exons. Lineage: Eukaryota; Metazoa; Chordata; Mammalia; Rodentia; Cricetidae.
GUUCAAAGCAUUCAGAAAUAAUAGAGAAUACAGUGACAUAUAACGAUGUGCAUGUUGACAUCACACAUGAAGAAUGCGCAUUAUUGGAUCCUUCACAAAGGAAUCUCUACAAAGAGGUGAUGCUGGAGACAUAUAUGAACCUCACUGCUAUAGGCUACAAUUGGGAAGAUCUUGAAGUUGAAGAACAUUGUCAAAGUUCUCAAAAACAUG